CCCUGCCCUCCGUCUCUGCAGGGCAGAAGAUGGGGCGGGGAGAGACGGGGGGGGUGGGGAGGGGACGGGGUGGGGGGCUUUCGACCCAUCCCUGAUAUUCAGGGACCUUCCCGUUUCCCCCGUUCUACCUUCCCCUCCGUCCCCCGGUGAUUUUCUAUCCCGCCGGCCGGCCCGGGGAUGGAGUGAGAUGGGCGGCCUCCGUCCGAGGGACCGUGCGAGGGGGUAGGCCGGGGCUGUGUGGACGAUGCCCCGAUCUGCCUCCCACCUCUCCCCACUUUUUCUCUCUUUCACGCUCCCCUCCCCGGGGAUGUGGCCGAAGCGGUGGGGCCGGAGCGGUGGGGGCCCGGGGAGCAGAGGACGUACAACGGGAGUCGGGGGGAGGGGGGGGGUCUUCACCGCCCCAACUCCGGGAUCCCAGACCGAUGUCCCCCCCCGGGCUUCCGACUUCAACGGCCGUCCGGGUCAGCGAGGGCCCACGGUUCAUUCGAUCGGAUUUAUCGAGCGCUUGCGGUGCGCGAAGCACUGUUGGCUUCGAGAGUCAACUGGGUGAGGGCGCGGGGGGCAGGCGGUGUCCCCCUUGGUUUCCAAGGCUGUCCUUGGCUCUCCUGCUCCUCAUUUACCUCCCAUCCUCUCCCUCUUCCAGUUUCUCCCUCUCCCGGGGUCCCGGGUGGAGCUGAGAGACCGGAGGAAGCUUGCUCAGGGGUCGGGACUCCUGGAUACUUUGCUCGGAUUUGGGGGGGUGAGAAGAGGUCCCUGCCCCAGCCCCAUCUCUGCCCACGGGUCGCCACUUGCUUGGACGACCAGGGGGUCGAGGAGGAGCCCGGGGAGGGGUGGGGAAGAGGAAGCGGGUGCGAGAGACAAGAGAAGGAGCUCACAGAGGCCCAGCAAGGAGGGAGUCUGGGAGCUCACAAACCCGAGUGUCCCUCCCCCGGUCCGCAGACCUCGGAGUGCCCCCAACGCCGCCCCCACUGUGGGGUAGAUACAAGAUAUUCAGGUUGUCCCACGUGGGGCUUCACAGUCUUAAUACUCAUGUUACAGAUGAGGUCACCGAGGCACAGAGAAGUUAACUGAUUUGCCCAGGUUCACACGGCGGACGAGUGGUGGAGCCGGGAUUAGAACCCACGACCUCUGACUCCCAAAGCCGUGCUCUUGCCACUAGGCCACACUGCUCAACUCUGGCUUUUUCUCUUUUCUCUGUCCGCUCAUCUCGGGCUGUCUCUGCCUGUCUCUCCUCUUCAGCCUCCGC
This 1246-nucleotide long non-coding RNA is filed under the name Ornithorhynchus anatinus (platypus). RNAcentral describes it as "lncRNA (ENSOANG00000040006.1)". The record is from RNAcentral. Lineage: Eukaryota; Metazoa; Chordata; Mammalia; Monotremata; Ornithorhynchidae.